This is a long non-coding RNA of Zingiber officinale, 920 nucleotides long. RefSeq lists it as uncharacterized. The transcript is spliced from 3 exons. NCBI's taxonomy places the organism in Eukaryota, Viridiplantae, Streptophyta, Magnoliopsida, Zingiberales, Zingiberaceae. The record is from RefSeq and is a predicted model, not a curated record.
UAAUUGAGCAAACCCUAAGUUUUAGUCGCUAAUUCCUUUUCCUCCCCUGAUUCCCUUCUCUCCUCUCCUUCAUUGCGCCGAACUCCUUUCCCCGAGUUCGCACCUCGCGAUCCACCGCACCCAGCCACCUAUCUUCUCCUCCUCACGCGGACGCCAGCCGUCGAGCCACAGUCGCUGGUUCUCUUUCCCUCAGGCGAGUACCAGCGACUUCCCUUCCUCGCGAUCUCACCACGUUGAUUGCCUUCUUGCGCUGACCCCUUACCUGUGCCCUAGUGUUUCUUUCUCCCGGUGCUGCCACCGAGCCCCUCUCAUGAGUUUUCUCCUCUUUUCUCCGAGCCGUGCACUCGCUGUCUCCACUGCUGACGCCUUUCCUCUGCCCUAGCUACCGAUCCACUUCCGACCCGAUACUCAUCUUCCCGAUCCGAGGGCGUCAUCUCUGCAUGAGCUGGUCUUCAGCCAAGAGCAGGGAUCCAAGCCUUAGUUCUUCUUCCGUGCCCUAGACUUCCACCACCGAAACCUUCAUCACGAUUUCUCGGCACCAGAGGUAGUAUUGCUAUUGAUCGCAAUAGCUCGUGGUUACCGGAGGCACCACUGGUUGUAAGUCUGAUAGCGAAUCCAGAGUUAUUGAAGAAUUUUAGGUGAGGGGUCAAACUGAAAGUGUUGGGGGAAAACUAAGGUAGCAGGUAAAGGAUUUAUGGAGUCACCUGGAGAACCUGUCCGCCAGUCCCACAUCACAUUCGAGGACGAUCUUAUGAUUUUGGUAUUCCUUACGCUAGUUGUAUCUUGGUUUUGUACUUGUUCUUGUAUUUGUGUAUUCUGUUAUUUGGAGUAUCGUUUAUGGUAUCCGGUAUUUGGUUUGUUAAUAUUGUGUCAAGCUGAGCCGGCUCGCAGUUAGUUGUAUUGUGAUUUUAUGUUUGUUA